Molecule: ribosomal RNA, 508 nt
Filed under: Amphiallagma parvum
Lineage: Eukaryota; Metazoa; Arthropoda; Insecta; Odonata; Coenagrionidae
Description: partial large subunit ribosomal RNA
Rfam family: Bacterial large subunit ribosomal RNA
Source: RNAcentral
CUCAAAAACAUGUCCUAUUGAUUUAUUUAAUAGGUCAGACCUGCCCGGUGAAAUAUUUAACGGCCGCGGUAUACUGACCGUGCAAAGGUAGCAUAAUCAUUAGUCUUUUAAUAGGAGGCUGGAAUGAAUGGUUUAACGAGAAAUUUACUGUCUCAAUUACAAAAUUGAAUUUAUCUUUUAAGUUAAAAGGCUUAAAUUUUGUUGAUGGACGAGAAGACCCUAUAGAGCUUUACAUUUUUUUUUUUAUGAAUAUAUAGUUUAUAAUUUAUUCUUAAACUUUAAAUAUGUUUUGUUGGGGUGACAAUAAAUAUAUAUUUAACUUUUAUCAUUAUAUAAACAUUAAUUUAUGAUUUUUGGAUCCAAAAUUUUUGAUUAAUAGAUUAAGUUACCUUAGGGAUAACAGCGUAAUCUUCUUUCAGAGUUCAAAUUUACAAGAAGGCUUGCGACCUCGAUGUUGGAUUAAGAUAAUAAUUAGGUGUAGCAGCUUAAUUAAUAGGUCUGUUCGACC